This 495-nucleotide ribosomal RNA is filed under the name uncultured bacterium. RNAcentral describes it as "partial 16S ribosomal RNA". It matches the Rfam family "Bacterial small subunit ribosomal RNA", at positions 28 to 507 of the family's 1533-position model. The record is from RNAcentral.
GACGAACGCUGGCGGCGUGCCUAAUACAUGCAAGUCGAGCGGAACCAUUGGAGCUUGCUCCUUUGGUUUAGCGGCGGACGGGUGAGUAACACGUGGGCAACCUGCCCUGCAGAUCGGGAUAACUCCGGGAAACCGGUGCUAAUACCGAAUAGUUUGCGGCCUCUCAUGAGGCUGCACGGAAAGACGGUUUCGGCUGUCACUGCAGGAUGGGCCCGCGGCGCAUUAGCUAGUUGGUGAGGUAACGGCUCACCAAGGCCACGAUGCGUAGCCGACCUGAGAGGGUGAUCGGCCACACUGGGACUGAGACACGGCCCAGACUCCUACGGGAGGCAGCAGUAGGGAAUCUUCCGCAAUGGACGAAAGUCUGACGGAGCAACGCCGCGUGAGUGAAGAAGGUUUGCGGAUCGUAAAACUCUGUUGUGAGGGAAGAACAAGUACCAAGUAACUACUGGUACCUUGACGGUACCUCACCAGAAAGCCACGGCUAACUACGUG